GAUUGAACGCUGGCGGCAGGCCUAACACAUGCAAGUCGGACGGUAGCACAGAGAGCUUGCUCUUGGGUGACGAGUGGCGGACGGGUGAGUAAUGUCUGGGGAUCUGCCCGAUAGAGGGGGAUAACCACUGGAAACGGUGGCUAAUACCGCAUAACGUCGCAAGACCAAAGAGGGGGACCUUCGGGCCUCUCACUAUCGGAUACAGAACCCAGAUGGGAUUAGCUAGUAGGCGGGGUAAUGCACCUAGGCGACGAUCCCUAGCUGGUCUGAGAGGAUGACCAGCCACACUGGAACUGAGACACGGUCCAGACUCCUACGGGAGGCAGCAGUGGGGAAUAUUGCACAAUGGGCGCAAGCCUGAUGCAGCCAUGCCGCGUGUAUGAAGAAGGCCUUCGGGUUGUAAAGUACUUUCAGCGGGGAGGAAGGCGGUGAGGUUAAUAACCUUGCCGAUUGACGUUACCCGCAGAAGCCGAAGCACCGAACUCCGUGCCAGCAGCCGCGGUAAUACGGAGGGUGCAAGCGUUAAUCGGAAUUACUGGGCGUAAAGCGCACGCAGGCGGUCUGUUAAGUCAGAUGUGAAAUCCCCGGGCUUAACCUGGGAACUGCAUUUGAAACUGGCAGGCUUGAGUCUCGUAGAGGGGGGUAGAAUUCCAGGUGUAGCGGUGAAAUGCGGCUUAGAGAUCUGGAGGAAUACCGGUGGCGAAGGCGGCCCCCUGGACGACUGACGCUCAGCGCGAAAGCGUGGGGAGCAAGAAACAGGAUUAGAUACCCU
RNAcentral lists this ribosomal RNA (772 nucleotides) under uncultured Pantoea sp. RNAcentral's name for it is "bacterial SSU rRNA". It matches the Rfam family "Bacterial small subunit ribosomal RNA", at positions 27 to 788 of the family's 1533-position model. Lineage: Bacteria; Pseudomonadati; Pseudomonadota; Gammaproteobacteria; Enterobacterales; Erwiniaceae. The record is from RNAcentral.